Molecule: ribosomal RNA, 490 nt
Filed under: uncultured bacterium
Lineage: Bacteria
Description: partial 16S ribosomal RNA
Rfam family: Bacterial small subunit ribosomal RNA
Source: RNAcentral
AUUGAACGCUGGCGGCAGGCCUAACACAUGCAAGUCGAACGGUAACAGGGAUCAGCUUGCUGAUUCGCUGACGAGUGGCGGACGGGUGAGUAAUGUCUGGGAAACUGCCUGAUGGAGGGGGAUAACUACUGGAAACGGUAGCUAAUACCGCAUAACGUCGCAAGACCAAAGAGGGGGACCUUCGGGCCUCUUGCCAUCGGAUGUGCCCAGAUGGGAUUAGCUAGUAGGUGGGGUAACGGCUCACCUAGGCGACGAUCCCUAGCUGGUCUGAGAGGAUGACCAGCCACACUGGAACUGAGACACGGUCCAGACUCCUACGGGAGGCAGCAGUGGGGAGUAUUGCACAAUGGGCGCAAGCCUGAUGCAGCCAUGCCGCGUGUAUGAAGAAGGCCUUCGGGUUGUAAAGUACUUUCAGCGGGGAGGAAGGGAGUAAAGUUAAUACCUUUGCUCAUUGACGUUACCCGCAGAAGAAGCACCGGCUAACUCCGUG